CCGCAAUAUAUAAUCAAUGGAAUAGAAACAUGUAAGAUGAGUUCUUGAAGAUGUGAUUUAAGUCAGAGAAUUUCUAUUAUGACAACGGCUAGACAUACAUAUCAUGACUCGGUACUUAAUUUGAACAAUACAACUUGUUUCUAAACGUGUCUCAUGGGCUAGCUUUUUUGAAAAUGCAAUGGUGAGGAUGACUCUAACAAUGGUUAGUUUAAAAACUAGGCUAAAUGUUUCAAAGAAAUCAAUGUCUUCUUGUUGAUGAAGUUCUUUUUUUUCCUGGUCUUGCUUUUUGUGUGGAAAUGGUGCCAUCAAUAAUGUAUUUGACUUUACGGAUCCGUUUGCGAUCUAUGAUGUUACAGUUUGGGAGAAGAGAAACAAGAUUGUUCGAGGUAUUUUUCCAAUAAAGAGAUUUUAGAAUAGUUUUAAUUGACUUAGGAUGUGUAUUAGUAUCAGUAGUAGAAGUUGAGGAAUAAGUGAUCCUGGACUUAGGUUGAAUAUGUUGAUUAAUAGUAGUUGUUGAGUAUUGAGUGAGCCUAUCUUUUGGUUAUUAGAUAUAUGAUUUGUUUCUACUAUGGAUGAUGAUAUUAGUUAUAGUUGUAUUUUAUACUCGUCUGAAUUCAAGGUGUGAGUUUAAUGGUAGUGGUAGUGGCAUGUCCAUUAGCAAUAAUUGAAGGUGUAUUUGGUGUAUACUGUGGGGUGGAAUUUUGAUUUCCAACUAUAAAUUUAUAGGUAUAAUUAGUGGAUCUAUGUGUUGUGGAGGUAUAGUAGUUAUUUGACUUUGAUGAUGACAAUUGUUAAUUGGUUUAAAAAAUGACAAUUCUAUAAGUCAAACGACAUUUUAUGUGAAUGAUUCAAGAAGUUCUUAGUGACAAUUAUAAAAGGGGAGUUGAUUAUAGUUAUCAAAUGUCGUUAAGCUCGAAAGUGCUAGACAUUGUUGAAUCAAGUAAGGGACUUGAAGAUUUGAAGUUAUGAUCUUUAAGCUUGAAGAUUUGAAGUUGUGAAAGUGUGAAAGUUCAUCUAGUCUCAUGCUUAUGAUUUUUUCCAAGUCUUUGUAAAAGGAACACAUAUAAGUAC
This 1071-nucleotide long non-coding RNA is filed under the name Lathyrus oleraceus (garden pea). RNAcentral describes it as "Pisum sativum (pea) long non-coding RNA (PSAT_LNC022979)". Lineage: Eukaryota; Viridiplantae; Streptophyta; Magnoliopsida; Fabales; Fabaceae. The record is from RNAcentral.